AAAUGGGAGUAUGAACUAAAAAGGUUGAAGUCCAGUCUAAGAGGAGAUUGAAGAGGACAGCGCUAAAAAGGAAAGAUUUGCUUAGAGGAAAUAUGCUGUUGCCCAGCAGGAAGUCACAAGGAAUCCACACUGAGAUCAAACAGCUGGACAAGGAGCCAUGUUGUCUUUUUCCUUGCUUAGAUACUAAAAUAAACCCCUAGUAUUAUCGGCAAGAAACAUAGUCUGGAUGGAAAUGACUCUAAAAGCAGUAAAGUCGAGCCUCUAAAGCCAUUCAGACCCUGAAUACCAUCUUAUCAAAGAAUCCUCCACAGGAGUGUAUCUGAGUGGAGAAAUCUUAAAAUUUAUCAUCUUAAAGCCCCUCAACUUUUCUGAGUUGACACGGCAAAAGCAGAGCUCCUUGAAUGUCAGAAUUUACCAUCUUACUGCCAUUUCUGAAGGGACUGAGAUUCAACUGUGUACAUUAAUGGAUAAAAGCCCAGCAGCCUGCCUCAGGCUAAGCAGCAGGGGCAAGGUCCACAUUGGAGGGCUUCUGUGAAGAACACUGGAUGUUAAUGGAUUUGUUUCACAGCAUAAAUCCAUCAGGACUCUCAUUGUUUUGCCAUUUUCACCCUGAGGACGCAUUCGUGUGGCUUUAACAUCCACCUCAGUCCUUUGUGACAGUUUUUAAAACAACAACAAAACCCUGUGGGCACAAUUCACCCAGGAUUCAUCAGUACUGUACAAAAUUCAUUGAAAUGAAUGGGAGCUGUAGCACAAGAUGGUAGCACAGUAGGAAGCUUGUACAAGAAAAAGUCCCAGGGGAUUGUGGCCCAUGUUAAAAGCCUUUAUCAUGCUUGUCUUCACAAUGUAAUGGUAAUAUAGGCCACUAUUAUACAGUGAUUUGUUCAAGGGUGCUCUAUACAGCCAUUUCGGAUUAUAGGUUUGAUCUUGUCUAUACCAUCUGCCUUCUCUCCCCUCAACCGUCAAGCUCUUGUCUAAGCUACAAAAGAUACUGGCACUGCUGUAUAUUGUAGCUGAUGCACAGUAGACUUGGUAAAACAGUUCUUCAAAUGGAACAGAUAGUAAUAAGCCAACAAAUCAGUGAGGCAUUUUGCUGAAGAACAUCUUCACCCACGUGUCUCUUUCAUACUAAUAGUAUUAUACAGGAUUUAAAUGUUGCCUUCAGUGGGGGAGCAUUGCUGUGUUUUAGAUCACAUGAGACAUCUGCCUAAAUCAGCACUGCCUGCUUUGACUUGCAGUGUCUCUCCUGGGUCUCAUUCAGAGAUCUCCCCUGUGUGAUAUAAGGCCAGAUGGACAAGUGCAGCCCCCAAGGAUUUUUCAGACUUCAAGACUCAUUUCUUACUAUUGGCAUUGCUGGCUAAAGCUGAUGGGAGAUGCAGGCUGAAACCAUUUGGAUGGCUGUAGUUGCUCUCCUUUCCUAUAAGAAGGAAGGGGAAAACCAAACUAUACAUGUUUCUGCCCCUUGAAAGCUACCAUUAAGGAUGUGGAGAGCUCUCCAAAAUAUUAUCAUUCUCAAUGAUAUUCUGAGCUUCACCAAAGUGAAAUAAAUACUUUACCCAUGCACCA
This 1566-nucleotide long non-coding RNA is filed under the name Pogona vitticeps (central bearded dragon). RNAcentral's name for it is "lncRNA (ENSPVIG00000000935.1)". Lineage: Eukaryota; Metazoa; Chordata; Lepidosauria; Squamata; Agamidae. The record is from RNAcentral.